RNAcentral lists this long non-coding RNA (1912 nucleotides) under Homo sapiens (human). RNAcentral's name for it is "HSALNT0264987". The record is from RNAcentral. Lineage: Eukaryota; Metazoa; Chordata; Mammalia; Primates; Hominidae.
GUUCUAACCAAUUCUUUUGAGUAUUAGGGUAUUUUAAUAUCAAAGCCUAAUCUCUACAGAGACUUUUAGAAAUAAUUUUCUUUUAACUAUAGCCAACUUGAUCACAUAAAGUUUUUUUAUAUAAAUUCUCCUUUUACAAAGUUUAUUAUGACUUACACAAACCAUUUAUGAUAUAUGCCUAUGUUCCCAGACCAAACUGAGGGUCGGGCUGCUAUUUCUCGUGGCCCGAUAACAAGAUGCAGAUGAACUGGGGAGGAAGAGAGUUUUUAUUUCUGUAACCGGUUACAGGGAGAAGACCUGGAAAACACUGCUAGACCAACUCAAAAUUACAAAGUUUUCCAGAGCUUAUAUGUCUUCUAAGCCAUAUGUCUAUGUGUAAGUAUGCAUUCAUCUAAAGACAUAAGUGAUUAACUUCUUUUAAUCUGUAACUAAGAUCUGAGUUCUGAAGACCUUCCUCUGGAGCCUGAGUAAAUUUACUUAAUCUAAAUGGGUCCAGGUUCCGGGGUGAUUACCCUUAUCUUGUCUCCUGCUAAAUCAUGGAGGAUUGGGAAGUUCCUUCAGACCCCAGUAAACUUGUUUGUGGAGGCCUGGGGAGUUUCUUCAGACCCCCAAUAAAACUUGCUUAAUCCUAAAUGUAUCCUGUUAAGAAUUCCUUCAUUAUCUUGUCAUGUUUCAAGGCCAGGAAAGGCUUAGGCAAAACUCUUGGUGGGCUUCUGUUACAGCCCAGCCUUUGCAUAAGGUCACUGGCCCUUUCAGCUUUUAAUAUUUAACUUAAUCAGUCAGUGCUGAAACAGUUGUUAUGAAGGCCCGCAUUAGUGAGACCUGGCCUGCCACACUUGGACUUCCUGUUUUAUCUUAAAUAUCCGCUUUCUUAAAUAACCAGUCAUUUUAUUUUGGGACAAAAAAUUUACCAUACAAAUUCUUUCUCAUAUAAAAUUAUUUUCCUUUUAACCUUUAUUAUCUUUUGCCUUGUUUCAUAAAUAACCUUUGAAUUAGAAAUUAUUUCCCUUUAAUAAGAACAUUUUUUAAAGAAAAAUGUUUGCUUGCUAUAAUAUAAUUUUUAAAAAUCAGGUAACAAUACAAAAGCAAGCAGUUUAAGAUCAGAGGGAACCUGUCUGUUUAUAUUCUUGGGGUUCCAUAUGGAAGAACAGAGAUUUCUCCCCAGAAAGGAGUCUGGUGCCUUCUCUCUUUUCUUUAAGGAAUCCCAGGCUGUUAGAAAUUAUUUAGAUCCUUCAUGCAGCAGAGAGUGGCAAGAGGAAGGAGAGACAGGCCAAAGUAAUUUGAGGAAACAGAACUCAGUCAACUGAGAAGCAAAAAACUUUUUCUCAAAAAACAAGAUCCUAGGACAGAGAAAAAGCAUAAAGGCCUUAUAUUCAUACACACACAUCUUGGAUAUUAGCUUUUAAUUAAGCUGAGUUUUAACCACUGAGCUCUUAAAAAUCCUUUUAAAUCUCUUUUAACCAUGUUUUAGCUGGGACAACCUGCUGAUAUUUCAAAAGUACUAAUAACACAAAAUUUAAGCCAGAAAGGACCUGAUUCAGGAACCAAACCCAGGCUGCUAUGGUGAAAGCAGGCAGAACCUUUAGCUACUGAACUACGCUGCGGGGCAGCCACCAUAGUUCUUUCAGUUUGGGCUUGGCUGGCGAAAGAUGGCCUUGUUAUGUAAACAAAGCCCCUCAGGUAGUCAAAAUCUUUCUUUUCUUCCUUUUGCUGGCUUUUUUAUUUUUUUUUUCCAGCUGCAGGAAUGUAGACAAUUCAGAGGCUUUGUUCCCCAUAAUUUGGAACUUUUCUUCAGAUUUGACCAAGUCGGGUAGAGAUGAUCAAACCUAAUGGGAAAAAGACUGAAACAACAAAAACAGAAACAGGCAAACACAACCAGAGAGAGUAUAAGGAAUCCGAAGGUUGCCCUGCA